This 800-nucleotide ribosomal RNA is filed under the name uncultured bacterium. RNAcentral's name for it is "bacterial SSU rRNA". It matches the Rfam family "Bacterial small subunit ribosomal RNA", at positions 8 to 799 of the family's 1533-position model. The record is from RNAcentral.
AGAGUUUGAUCCUGGCUCAGGAUGAACGCUAGCGGCAGGCUUAAUACAUGCAAGUCGAGGGGCAGCAUGACUGUAGCAAUACAGUUGAUGGCGACCGGCAAACGGGUGCGGAACACGUACAGAACCUUCCUUCGAGCGGGGAAUAGCCCAGAGAAAUUUGGAUUAAUACCCCAUAGUAUUACGGAGUGGCAUCACUUUGUAAUUAAAGAUUUAUCACUUGAAGAUGGCUGUGCGGCUGAUUAGGUAGUUGGCGGGGUAACGGCCCACCAAGCCUGCGAUCAGUAACUGGUGUGAGAGCACGACCAGUCACACGGGCACUGAGACACGGGCCCGACUCCUACGGGAGGCAGCAGUAAGGAAUAUUGGUCAAUGGACGCAAGUCUGAACCAGCCAUGCCGCGUGGAGGAUGAAGGUCCUCUGGAUUGUAAACUUCUUUUAUAUGGGACGAAAAAGGGCCUUUCUAGGUCAACUGACGGUACCAUGUGAAUAAGCACCGGCUAACUCCGUGCCAGCAGCCGCGGUAAUACGGAGGGUGCAAGCGUUAUCCGGAUUCACUGGGUUUAAAGGGUGCGUAGGUGGGUUGGUAAGUCAGUGGUGAAAUCCCCGAGCUUAACUUGGGAACUGCCAUUGAUACUAUCAGUCUUGAAUACCGUGGAGGUCAGCGGAAUAUGUCAUGUAGCGGUGAAAUGCUUAGAUAUGACAUAGAACACCAAUUGCGAAGGCAGCUGGCUACACGAAUAUUGACACUGAGGCACGAAAGCGUGGGGAUCAAACAGGAUUAGAUACCCUGGUAGUCCACG